AUCCAUCUGACGAGUCCAAAAUAGGACGAAACCCGCGUUCUGGAU
This 45-nucleotide non-coding RNA is filed under the name Schistosoma mattheei. Lineage: Eukaryota; Metazoa; Platyhelminthes; Trematoda; Strigeidida; Schistosomatidae. The record is from RNAcentral.